This 405-nucleotide ribosomal RNA is filed under the name Clostridioides sp. ZZV15-6383. Its description in RNAcentral is "bacterial SSU rRNA". It matches the Rfam family "Bacterial small subunit ribosomal RNA", at positions 1 to 415 of the family's 1533-position model. The record is from RNAcentral. Lineage: Bacteria; Bacillati; Bacillota; Clostridia; Peptostreptococcales; Peptostreptococcaceae.
UUAUUUGAGAGUUUGAUCCUGGCUCAGGAUGAACGCUGGCGGCGUGCCUAACACAUGCAAGUUGAGCGAUUUACUUCGGUAAAGAGCGGCGGACGGGUGAGUAACGCGUGGGUAACCUACCCUGUACACACGGAUAACAUACCGAAAGGUAUGCUAAUACGGGAUAACAUAUUUGAGAGGCAUCUCUUGAAUAUCAAAGGUGAGCCAGUACAGGAUGGACCCGCGUCUGAUUAGCUAGUUGGUAAGGUAACGGCUUACCAAGGCGACGAUCAGUAGCCGACCUGAGAGGGUGAUCGGCCACAUUGGAACUGAGACACGGUCCAAACUCCUACGGGAGGCAGCAGUGGGGAAUAUUGCACAAUGGGCGAAAGCCUGAUGCAGCAACGCCGCGUGAGUGAUGAAGGC